AUAAUCUUAUCGUUUAAGUCCAAGCACACGUGAUAAAGUUCCCUGAUCCCAUCAAUACAACGCAUUCCCCUCCACGAAUCUUGGGAUCGGCCCAAAACUGUUUCUCCAAUUCGAUUGCAUUGGAACAACAAUUACAGAUUAUUCGCAAAAAAUUCCACCAAUGAUAUGAGCUAAUAACUACGUACACAAAAAAAAAAAACCUAGACCUUUUACCCUUGGUGUUACAUGAGAAGGAAUUCUCAGGCACAUGAUUUGCGUACUGUUUCGAUAUAAUUAAUGUUACCGAU
Molecule: long non-coding RNA, 287 nt
Organism: Hordeum vulgare subsp. vulgare (domesticated barley)
Lineage: Eukaryota; Viridiplantae; Streptophyta; Magnoliopsida; Poales; Poaceae
Exons: 3
Source: RefSeq, a predicted model, not a curated record